AACGAACGCUGGCGGCAGGCCUAACACAUGCAAGUCGAGCGAGGACUUCGGUCCUAGCGGCGGACGGGUGAGUAACGCGUGGGAACGUGCCCUUUGCUUCGGAAUAGCCCUGGGAAACUGGGAGUAAUACCGGAUGAGCCCUUUGGGGGAAAGAUUUAUCGGCGAAGGAUCGGCCCGCGUUGGAUUAAGUAGUUGGUGGGGUAAUGGCCUACCAAGCCGACGAUCCAUAGCUGGUUUGAGAGGAUGAUCAGCCACACUGGGACUGAGACACGGCCCAGACUCCUACGGGAGGCAGCAGUGGGGAAUCUUAGACAAUGGGGGAAACCCUGAUCUAGCCAUGCCGCGUGAGCGAUGAAGGCCUUAGGGUUGUAAAGCUCUUUCAGCUGGGAAGAUAAUGACGGUACCAGCAGAAGAAGCCCCGGCUAACUCCGUG
Molecule: ribosomal RNA, 433 nt
Filed under: uncultured bacterium
Lineage: Bacteria
Description: partial 16S ribosomal RNA
Rfam family: Bacterial small subunit ribosomal RNA
Source: RNAcentral